UUACAUUUGAGUGAGUGGCGAACUGGUGAGUAACACGUGGGAAACCUGCCCAGAAGCGGGGGAUAACACCUGGAAACAGAUGCUAAUACCGCAUAACAACUUGGACCGCAUGGUCCGAGCUUGAAAGAUGGCUUCGGCUAUCCUUUUGGAUGGUCCCGCGGCGUAUUAGCUAGAUGGUGGGGUAACGGCUCACCAUGGCAAUGAUACGUACCGACCUGAGAGGUAA
Molecule: ribosomal RNA, 226 nt
Filed under: Lactiplantibacillus plantarum
Lineage: Bacteria; Bacillati; Bacillota; Bacilli; Lactobacillales; Lactobacillaceae
Description: partial 16S ribosomal RNA
Rfam family: Bacterial small subunit ribosomal RNA
Source: RNAcentral